UACGUAGGGGGCUAGCGUUAUCCGGAAUUACUGGGCGUAAAGGGUGCGUAGGUGGUUUCUUAAGUCAGAGGUGAAAGGCUACGGCUCAACCGUAGUAAGCCUUUGAAACUGGGGAACUUGAGUGCUGGAGAGGAGAGUGGAAUUCCUAGUGUAGCGGUGAAAUGCGUAGAUAUUAGGAGGAACACCAGUUGCGAAGGCGGCUCUCUGGACUGUAACUGACACUGAGGCACGAAAGCGUGGGGAGCAAACAGG
Molecule: ribosomal RNA, 252 nt
Filed under: uncultured bacterium
Lineage: Bacteria
Description: partial 16S ribosomal RNA
Rfam family: Bacterial small subunit ribosomal RNA
Source: RNAcentral